This 62-nucleotide transfer RNA is filed under the name Acerentomon microrhinus. RNAcentral describes it as "tRNA-Tyr". The record is from RNAcentral. Lineage: Eukaryota; Metazoa; Arthropoda; Protura; Acerentomata; Acerentomidae.
AAUGAAAUGGCUGAUUUAGGCGUAAAGUUGUAAACUUUAUUAUAUAGAAACUAUUUUCAUUA